AGGUUCAGACCGGGGGUCGGGCGGGCGCCCCCGCCGCCGGCGGCAACGCUCUUGGUGCUCCCGCUCCGCUGCACCGGCGGCGGCGCCGGGCGCGCCCACGAGCUCACGCUCCGGGCGCGCUUCACCACCCUCGACGACGCCUGCGCCGCCGCCGGCCGCGCGUAGCUGGCGCUGUAGCUCCGGAUAUCCGCCGCGCCGCCGUACACGCUGCCCCUCUCCGCGCACGACACCGACCUCUCCAUUGGCAUCUUUCAAUCUCCCUCUCUCUCCUUCUGCUUCUCUCCCUCGGCGAGCUCUGCUCUGC
This 304-nucleotide long non-coding RNA is filed under the name Setaria italica (foxtail millet). RNAcentral describes it as "long non-coding RNA (SITA_LNC000075)". Lineage: Eukaryota; Viridiplantae; Streptophyta; Magnoliopsida; Poales; Poaceae. The record is from RNAcentral.